Long non-coding RNA from Spea bombifrons (plains spadefoot toad), 730 nucleotides. RefSeq lists it as uncharacterized. Lineage: Eukaryota; Metazoa; Chordata; Amphibia; Anura; Pelobatidae. The record is from RefSeq and is a predicted model, not a curated record. The transcript is spliced from 3 exons.
AUCAAACUCCAUGCAUCAAGGGGCAUUAUUUUUGGAUCUCCCAACUUUAGCAAAGUUCACCUGGGUGGGGAUUAUUAAAUGGCUUAUGUUAAAGCAAAUGGAUGCAGAAUCCAUGGUUUGCAUGGGACCUUCGAGACCUGGAGUCCAGCAGCCCUACUGUAGUGGGUUUCAGGCACACAGACAACUUUCCUUAUUACAGAGGAAACUGAUGUUUUCCAAAAUUGGGACACAGAACUGUAAGACCCAUUUCAACAGGAGCAAAGUAUGCUGCAAUUGUAAUGCAUCUGUGUUUCUAUGUUACUGAACAGGCUUGGUGACUAAUAGCACUAUACGCACCGUUACCCACCCCUCUGUGCCAGGGUUACACAAAGAUACGUCCAAAAGGUUUGUAGAGUUCAUUACUUCAACUGCAUCAAGGGUUGUGACAUAUCCAUCAGGAAACAACCUUUCUGGAACUGUAGGGCCGUCCCAUCCGGAGUAUGUACCAAGAAUAUCUCUACAAAGUUUACAGCCACCGAAUGAAGCACUCAACCAACACAUUCAUAACCGAACACAAAACACUUCUGAAGCCAGUAUAUGCCUUUCAUGUGAAGAAAACACACAGGAUUUUACAGUAGAAUUUACACUGCCCACUGCCAGACCAACCUACUCUGCAGAUCCUGGUGCAUGGAUCACUAUACCAGUUUUACCUACCGAAGAAACACGGAUAGACCCAUUAUUGGACAUUUUA